Long non-coding RNA from Priapulus caudatus, 1428 nucleotides. RefSeq lists it as uncharacterized. NCBI's taxonomy places the organism in Eukaryota, Metazoa, Priapulida, Priapulimorpha, Priapulimorphida, Priapulidae. The transcript has 3 exons. The record is from RefSeq and is a predicted model, not a curated record.
CAGAAUCGUAACCGAAUAUCAGUAACCUCGUACCGUGAGACGUGGAUCGCGAAGUAGCUCGGCAGGGGUGAAGGUGGAAGGUGGAAGGUAGACGGGGAAGGUGGAAAGGAGGAGUAUAGAAGGAAUAAGAUCAGGAGCGCGGGCAAACCUGGACCAUGCUGCGGAAAGGAUGAGAGCCGAGUCGCUACCUGGGGACUAACCAUCACAGAUCGACCCUCGAGGCAUUAGUGUACUCGGAUGCUAAGGGGAGUUGUGUAUAGUGAUUACCUACGGCGUUCUAUUAUUAUAUAUCACUUGGAGCGAUGAGGUGUGUUGUUUAUGGUGAUUGCUUAUGUGGGGCGGCUAGUGUAAGGCGGUAUAUUUAAUCUCUGCGGGAGCGUGCGCUAUCCUACGUGGUUGCCUCGCGUGAUGCAUCCACGCGAGGUGCACGCAAGGUCUACGCGAGGUGUGAAUGUAAUGCAUGCAUCGCGUGAUGAUUCCAGCGAGUAAUAAACGACCUACACAAUUAUGGAGGAAACAUAAUAAUAAAUAAUAAAGUCAUGCGUUGUAAGAGUAUAACGCAAUCAGUCCGUGGAAUGAAGGACUGCUCAAUAAAAACACAAAGGAAAAAGACAGCUAGCAAAAAUAAUCACUCGAUUAAGAAUCUAAAUUGCUACAAUAAUAGACAAAAAAGAGCACAACAUAAAAAAGCAAAUAAGAAACAAUGAUAGACCCACGCUGUGGCAGCAGGGACAGUUUUGUUCUUAGGGUACUAGUUACAUAUACUGUUUGCUCACAACUCGGUAUGUAUUAGCGAUGUGUCUUAAAACCAAGUCAAUAGUUACAUAAGCCUGACGAAAGCGCUAUAAUUCUCGCGAAUUAUAAAAUUCCCGACAUACAUAUACAGGUUUGCUUCCAGAAUGGAAGGAUAAUAACAUGCGAACCUGAAUUCAUUUGCAACGUUCCGUGUGACUGGAGCGGCGCACACACAGGUGCCCGCGGUCCAAGGGCGUGCGCGUGUAUACACUGCUCUGUCUCCUCCCCACACCGCACUGUGAAUAUCAGUGAAAGAAAUACUGAGCAGUUGUGCGUGGAAGGUGAACCAGCCGCCUACAAUAUCUUCUGUAUAAGGCGAGGGCAGGUGUAUAUCUUCUAUAUAUAGCGUGGAUGCAUAGCUGCAUGAGUGCCGCUGCUUCGUCGGGUGGUUUUAACACGCGAACACCCGCGUGCGCGUACUGGCGCGCCAAACUAAAGUUUGUUCAGUUACGAGUUGCGCGCGCGUCGGAGAGCACGUGUCCUCGCUCCCUGCUUACGUAGCCCACAAACCUGCUUACAGACGACAACGAGGUGCGAAGACGUCCAUGAGAAGAAAAUGGAUACGCCCGUCAUCCACGUGCUCUGCGGCCUUCUCCUCAUGAUAACUGUAACGACAUCACAGAUUAUUCUACC